This 497-nucleotide ribosomal RNA is filed under the name uncultured bacterium. RNAcentral's name for it is "partial 16S ribosomal RNA". It matches the Rfam family "Bacterial small subunit ribosomal RNA", at positions 28 to 507 of the family's 1533-position model. The record is from RNAcentral.
GAUGAACGCUGGCGGCGUGCCUAAUACAUGCAAGUCGAGCGAACAGACGAGGAGCUUGCUCCUCUGACGUUAGCGGCGGACGGGUGAGUAACACGUGGAUAACCUACCUAUAAGACUGGGAUAACUUCGGGAAACCGGAGCUAAUACCGGAUAAUAUAUUGAACCGCAUGGUUCAAUAGUGAAAGACGGUUUUGCUGUCACUUAUAGAUGGAUCCGCGCCGCAUUAGCUAGUUGGUAAGGUAACGGCUUACCAAGGCAACGAUGCGUAGCCGAACUGAGAGGGUGAUCAGCCACACUGGAAAUGAGACACGGUCCAGACUCCUACGGGAGGCAGCAGUAGGGAAUCUUCCGCAAUGGGCGAAAGCCUGACAGAGCAACGCCGCGUAAGUGAUCAAGGUCUUCGGAUCGUAAAACUCUGUUAUUAGGGAAGAACAAAUGUGUGAGUAACUAUGCACGUCUUGACGGUACCUAAUCAGAAAGCCACGGCUAACUACGUG